AGAAGUUAUAGGUCUUCUUAUAGCYGCUGCCGGUGGACCAUUAAACUCUUGUUAUUUUAUGUAAUCUGASCGUCUUAUUUUAAUAAGUCAAAACUUUCAACAACGGAUCUCUUGGUUCUGGCAUCGAUGAAGAACGCAGCGAAAUGCGAUAAGUAAUGUGAAUUGCAGAAUUCAGUGAAUCAUCGAAUCUUUGAACGCACAUUGCGCCCAUUAGUAUUCUAGUGGGCAUGCCUGUUCGAGCGUCAUUUCAACCCUUAAGCCUAGCUUAGUGUUGGGAAUCUACUUCUCUUAGGAGUUGUAGUUCCUGAAAUACAACGGCGGAUUUGUAGUAUCCUCUGAGCGUAGUAAUUUUUUUCUCGCUUUUGUUAGGUGCUAUAACUCCCAGCCGYUAWWYCCCCAA
RNAcentral lists this ribosomal RNA (400 nucleotides) under Pestalotiopsis sp. 15 JM-2013. RNAcentral describes it as "eukaryotic LSU rRNA". The stretch from base 92 to 245 matches the Rfam family "5.8S ribosomal RNA". The record is from RNAcentral. Lineage: Eukaryota; Fungi; Ascomycota; Sordariomycetes; Amphisphaeriales; Sporocadaceae.